Molecule: ribosomal RNA, 492 nt
Filed under: uncultured bacterium
Lineage: Bacteria
Description: partial 16S ribosomal RNA
Rfam family: Bacterial small subunit ribosomal RNA
Source: RNAcentral
GAUGAACGCUAGCUACAGGCUUAACACAUGCAAGUCGAGGGGAAACGACAUCGAAAGCUUGCUUUUGAUGGGCGUCGACCGGCGCACGGGUGAGUAACGCGUAUCCAACCUGCCCAUCACUUGGGGAUAACCUUGCGAAAGUAAGACUAAUACCCAAUGAUAUCUCUAGAAGACAUCUGAAAGAGAUUAAAGAUUUAUCGGUGAUGGAUGGGGAUGCGUCUGAUUAGCUUGUUGGCGGGGUAACGGCCCACCAAGGCAACGAUCAGUAGGGGUUCUGAGAGGAAGGUCCCCCACAUUGGAGCUGAGACACGGUCCAAACUCCUACGGGAGGCAGCAGUGAGGAAUAUUGGUCAAUGGGCGAGAGCCUGAACCAGCCAAGUAGCGUGCAGGAAGACGGCCCUAUGGGUUGUAAACUGCUUUUAUAAGGGAAUAAAGUGAGAGUCGUGUCUCUUUUUGUAUGUACCUUAUGAAUAAGGACCGGCUAAUUCCGUG